UACGUAGGGUGCAAGCGUUGUCCGGAUUUACUGGGCGUAAAGAGCUCGUAGGUGGUGUGCCGCGUCGUCUGUGAAGUUCCGGGGCUUAACUCCGGGCGUGCAGGCGAUACGGGCACGACUAGAGUGCUGUAGGGGUAACUGGAAUUCCUGGUGUAGCGGUGAAAUGCGCAGAUAUCAGGAGGAACACCGAUGGCGAAGGCAGGUUACUGGGCAGUUACUGACGCUGAGGAGCGAAAGCAUGGGGAGCGAACAGGAUUAGAUACCCUGGUAGUCCAUGCUGUAAACGGUGGGCGCUAGGUGUGGGCUGUGUGUUUGCAGUCUGUGCCGUAGCUAACGCAUUAAGCGCCCCGCCUGGGGAGUACGGCCGCAAGGCUAAA
This 377-nucleotide ribosomal RNA is filed under the name uncultured bacterium. Its description in RNAcentral is "bacterial SSU rRNA". It matches the Rfam family "Bacterial small subunit ribosomal RNA", at positions 524 to 898 of the family's 1533-position model. The record is from RNAcentral.